RNAcentral lists this ribosomal RNA (612 nucleotides) under Hoplismenus coreanus. RNAcentral describes it as "eukaryotic LSU rRNA". It matches the Rfam family "Eukaryotic large subunit ribosomal RNA", at positions 386 to 780 of the family's 3401-position model. The record is from RNAcentral. Lineage: Eukaryota; Metazoa; Arthropoda; Insecta; Hymenoptera; Ichneumonidae.
AAACGAGAUAAACCCGAAAGAUCGAAUGGGGAGAUUCAUCGUCAGCGAUUCUGGUACGUGUGCGGCUCGCGAUGUUAGAGGCUUCGGUCUCAUGGCACGCGUCCGCAUGUUUUUUAUUGCUUGAAUCGUCGGCGUGCACUUCUCCCCUAGUAGGACGUCGCGACCCGUUGGGUGUCGGUCUACGGCACGGUAGGGUAGCCUGUCACGUGUGCGCUUCACGGCGUUACGCGGGUCAGACCUCCGUUCGCCCGACCGGCGCCCGGCGGUACUCGCAAGGUAUCUGGCCGCAGACAUACGAACUGCGUCCGGCCCGUCGCAAGCGCGGCAAGUGUUUCCCGGCUGUACGGAUCUAAUGCCGUCACCGGGCCUUGCCAGCUGUUGGUUGACGGUGUCCUAGGACUGGCUAACAGAUACCGGUCGGCGACGCUACUGCUUUGGGUACUUUCAGGACCCGUCUUGAAACACGGACCAAGGAGUCUAACAUGUGCGCGAGUCAUUGGGAGCUAUUAAGCCUAAAGGCGCAAUGAAAGUGAAGAUCGGCCUUGCGCCGAUCGAGGGAGGAUGGGCCGCGUCACGAUGCGGUCCCGCACUCCCGGGGCGUCUCGUUCUCAU